This 301-nucleotide ribosomal RNA is filed under the name uncultured bacterium. RNAcentral's name for it is "partial 16S ribosomal RNA". It matches the Rfam family "Bacterial small subunit ribosomal RNA", at positions 509 to 807 of the family's 1533-position model. The record is from RNAcentral.
CAGUAGCCGCGGUAAUACGGAGGGUGCAGGCGUUAAUCGGAAUUACUGGGCGUAAAGCGCACGCAGGCGGUUUGUUAAGUCAGAUGUGAAAUCCCCGAGCUUAACUUGGGAACUGCAUUUGAAACUGGCAAGCUAGAGUCUUGUAGAGGGGGGUAGAAUUCCAGGUGUAGCGGUGAAAUGCGUAGAGAUCUGGAGGAAUACCGGUGGCGAAGGCGGCCCCCUGGACAAAGACUGACGCUCAGGUGCGAAAGCGUGGGGAGCAAACAGGAUUAGAUACCCCAGUAGUCCCUGUCUCUUAUAC